UACGAAGGGGGCUAGCGUUGUUCGGAUUUACUGGGCGUAAAGCGUACGUAGGCGGAUCUUUAAGUCAGAGGUGAAAUCCCAAGGCUCAACCUUGGAACUGCCUUUGAUACUGGGGAUCUCGAGUCCGGGAGAGGUGAGUGGAACUGCGAGUGUAGAGGUGAAAUUCGUAGAUAUUCGCAAGAACACCAGUGGCGAAGGCGGCUCACUGGCCCGGUACUGACGCUGAGGUGCGAAAGCGUGGGGAGCAAACAGG
This 253-nucleotide ribosomal RNA is filed under the name uncultured bacterium. RNAcentral's name for it is "partial 16S ribosomal RNA". It matches the Rfam family "Bacterial small subunit ribosomal RNA", at positions 524 to 776 of the family's 1533-position model. The record is from RNAcentral.